Long non-coding RNA from Sapajus apella (tufted capuchin), 107 nucleotides. RefSeq lists it as uncharacterized. The record is from RefSeq and is a predicted model, not a curated record. The transcript has 2 exons. Lineage: Eukaryota; Metazoa; Chordata; Mammalia; Primates; Cebidae.
GGAGGCUGAGGCAGGAGAAUUGCCUGAACCCAGGAGGCGGAGGUGGCAGCGAACUGAGAUUGUACCCUUGCACUCCAGCCUGGGCAUCAGAGCAAGACCCUGUCUCA